ACUUGGAAUGCUUGUUGGACCUGCAACUGCUGGAAGAGGAGAAUCAUAUUUGUUGAACAAAAGAGAAGGCCAAUUCAUUGCCUGGCAUAUCGCCUAUUUUACUACCGAUCAUCUAAUUUACUGCUGGGAUCGGACGAUGGUGGAUGCUUGCCUUACAGAAGGUGCUCACUACCAGGACCUUGUUCAGGUGCAUAACUCAUAAGUGUUGCAGAUUUGAAAGACAAUCGGCACGCAAGACAAGGCAAAGACUGUUAUCUCAUGCGUGUUUGAUGCCAAUGCUGGAAUUACUUGAAAUGAUAAAUUUGUCUAUGCUCGCGUUAAAUGCUCACAAAGUGUUGGCUCUGAAUUGUGCUUGGUUAAAUAAAACAAUUUUUUGGUUGCAAGUAUCAUAAUGAAUAUACCUUUGUGCUUGUAUUUCC
Molecule: long non-coding RNA, 419 nt
Organism: Papaver somniferum (opium poppy)
Lineage: Eukaryota; Viridiplantae; Streptophyta; Magnoliopsida; Ranunculales; Papaveraceae
Exons: 4
Source: RefSeq, a predicted model, not a curated record